GAAUCAGCCGGUACUCGCGAAUGCUCUAGAGUUAGUUUGAUCAUGGCUCAGAGUCACGCUGGUAGUAGGCCUAACGCAUGCAAGUCGAACGGCAGCACAGGAGAGCUUGCUCUCUGGGUGGCGAGUGGCGGACGGGUGAGGAAUACAUCGGAAUCUACUACUGUCGUGGGGGAUAACGUAGGGAAACUUACGCUAAUACCGCAUACGACCUACGGGUGAAAGCAGGGGAUCUUCGGACCUUGCGCGAUUGAAUGAGCCGAUGUCGGAUUAGCUAGUUGGCGGGGUAAAGGCCCACCAAGGCGACGAUCCGUAGCUGGUCUAGAGAGGAUGAUCAGCCACACUGGAACUGAGACACGGUCCAGACUCCUACGGGAGGCAGCAGUGGGGAAUAUUGGACAAUGGGCGCAAGCCUGAUACCAGCCAUACCGCGUGGGUGAAGAAGGCCUUCGGGUUGUAAAGCCCUUUUGUNGGGACAGAAACUCCAGGCUGGCUAAAUACCUGGUUUGGGAUGACGGUACCCAAAAGAAUAAGNNCACCAGGCUUAACUUACGUGCCAGCAGCCGCGGGUAAUACGAAGGGGUGCCAAGGCGUNAAACUCCGGGAANUUACUUGGGGCCGGUAAAAAGCCGUUGCGUAAGGAUAGGGCCAGAUAAAAGGUACCGGAUNGGUUGGGAAAAAAGGCCCCAUGGGGGAGGCCAACAAAACCUGGGGCAAACUNGNGCACCGUGGGGAAAACCUGGGGCGGAACAUCAAAAGAANAUUGUUAGGACAAACGGGGUAACGGGACAUAACCUAAGGGAUGGUUAACCACGUNAAAAAAGNCGGAUAAAAAGCAANCACAGGAGGAGGGAACCAUACACUGGGCACAAAGAGAGCGGGUCACCAUGGAGACNCCCAAACGAUAGAAACCNAGAGGGGCACAA
RNAcentral lists this ribosomal RNA (923 nucleotides) under uncultured bacterium. RNAcentral's name for it is "bacterial SSU rRNA". The stretch from base 33 to 598 matches the Rfam family "Bacterial small subunit ribosomal RNA", at positions 9 to 546 of the family's 1533-position model. The record is from RNAcentral.